UACGGAGGGUGCAAGCGUUAUCCGGAUUCACUGGGUUUAAAGGGUGUGUAGGCGGCCUUUUAAGUCAGUGGUGAAAUCUCCGGGCUCAACCCGGAAACUGCCAUUGAUACUAUUAGUCUUGAAUUCUGUUGAGGUAGGCGGAAUAUAUCAUGUAGCGGUGAAAUGCUUAGAUAUGAUAUAGAACACCGAUUGCGAAGGCAGCUUACUAAGCAGAUAUUGACGCUGAGGCACGAAAGCGUGGGGAUCAAACAGG
This 253-nucleotide ribosomal RNA is filed under the name uncultured bacterium. RNAcentral's name for it is "partial 16S ribosomal RNA". It matches the Rfam family "Bacterial small subunit ribosomal RNA", at positions 524 to 776 of the family's 1533-position model. The record is from RNAcentral.